This 468-nucleotide ribosomal RNA is filed under the name uncultured bacterium. RNAcentral describes it as "bacterial SSU rRNA". It matches the Rfam family "Bacterial small subunit ribosomal RNA", at positions 328 to 794 of the family's 1533-position model. The record is from RNAcentral.
UCACCAGACUCCUACGGGAGGCAGCAGUGAGGAAUAUUGGUCAAUGGGCGCGAGCCUGAACCAGCCAAGUCGCGUGAGGGAAGACGGUCCUAUGGAUUGUAAACCUCUUUUGUCGGGGAGCAAAAGACGCCACGCGUGGCGUUCCGAGAGUACCCGAAGAAAAAGCAUCGGCUAACUCCGUGCCAGCAGCCGCGGUAAUACGGAGGAUGCGAGCGUUAUCCGGAUUUAUUGGGUUUAAAGGGUGCGCAGGCGGAAGAUAAAGUCAGGGGUAAAAUUGAGGGGCUCAACCUCUUCGAGCCGUUGAAACUGGUUUUCUUGAGUGAGCGAGAAGUAUGCGGAAUGCGUGGUGUAGCGGUGAAAUGCAUAGAUAUCACGCAGAACUCCGAUUGCGAAGGCAGCAUGCCGGCUCCACACUGACGCUGAAGCACGAAGGCGUGGGUAUCGAACAGGAUUAGAUACCCCCGUAGU